RNAcentral lists this small RNA (2527 nucleotides) under Pongo abelii (Sumatran orangutan). RNAcentral's name for it is "retained intron". The record is from RNAcentral. Lineage: Eukaryota; Metazoa; Chordata; Mammalia; Primates; Hominidae.
UUUGAGACAGAGUCUUGCUCUGUCGCCCAGUCUGGAGUGCAUUGGCAUGAUGUUGGCUCACUGCAGCCUCUGCCCCGGGGGUUCAAGCAAUUCUCCUGCUUCAGCCUCCCCAGUAGCUGGGAUUAUAACCUUGCGCCACCACCCCUAGCUAAUUUUUUUUUUUUUGUAUUUUAGUAGAGACAGAGUUCACCAUGUUGGCCAGGCUGGUCUCGAACUCCUCACCUCAAGUGAUCCACCCACCUUGGCCUCCCAGAGUGUUGGGAUUACAGGCGUGAGCCCCAGUGCCUUACCAGAAUGGAAAUAUUUAAGUAAACAAAAUAUUUCUAAGUGUAAACUAAUGGCCUACUUAUUUUAUUUAGCAAUUUCAGUUCAGGUCCUAGGAGUUUAAUAUUUCAUCUAUAUUUUAAUUCACCACAGAUAUUAGGCUUUCUCAAAGGUAACAUUUUGUCCUAAUUUUAGUUUCUCAAAUCGUAUUAAGGUUAUGAUGGCUACCCAGCUUGUGAAGUAAUAGAUGAUAAUAAUAUAGUCAGGAAAUAUCAUUUGGUAACCAAGGCUUCAGCAAAGUAUUAAGAUUUUUGUGUUCGUGAGUGUUAUAGGUAACACUGUUGGCCCCCAACAUUGUCAUUUUGUACACUUUGUUGAUCAAUGGCCUGAAUUCAUUAAAAUUCACACUACAUGCUUCAAAAAGAAUAUUGGAUCCCAGCCUAGGUUGUUGAGUAUAUUCCUGUCCUUUAUUAAAAUGUAGGUUGAUAGAAAGGUGGUAGGGAUAUUUAAAUCUAUCAUGCUAAUUUACUUUCUUUGUAUCACAGCAAGGAUAGGGAAUUAGGAAAGCAUUACUCACUCAAUAGAGAAAAGGUAGAUAGAAAAUCCAGUGUUAUCUUGACAAAGCAGUGAAUGUUUUAGUAUGAUUGAGGAUAGGUAAUCUAGUGCUAAAGUUGGUCAGAGAAUUUCCUGCACAAAAUGAAAGAUCUGUGUAUGGGAAUGCUAGAGAAUUUGACUUCUCAGAAAUAUAUAGACCAACAGUGGUUGCCUUUUUUCAUUUUCACUUCUCUUCAUUCUUAGAUCUACGGAAUCCAGAGGCAGCAUUGUCUCCAACCUUCCGUAGUGACAGCCCAGUGCCUACUGCACCCACCUCUGGUGGCCCUAAGCCCAGCACAGCUUCAGCAGUUCCUGAAUUAGCUACAGAUCCUGAGUUAGAGAAGAAGUUGCUACACCACCUCUCUGAUCUGGCCUUAACAUUGCCCACUGAUGCUGUGUCCAUCUGUCUUGCCAUCUCCACGCCAGAUGCUCCUGCCACUCAAGAUGGGGUAGAAAGCCUCCUGCAGAAAUUUGCAGCUCAGGAGUUGAUUGAGGUCAAGCGAGGUCUCCUACAAGAUGAUGCACAUCCUACUCUUGUGACCUAUGCUGACCAUUCCAAGCUCUCUGCCAUGAUGGGUGCUGUGGCAGAAAAGAAGGGCCCUGGGGAGGUAGCAGGGACUGUCACAGGGCAGAAGCGGCGUGCAGAACAGGACUUAACUACAGUAGCUGCCUUUGCCAGUUCGUUAGUCUCCGGUCUGAACUCUUCAGCAUCGGAACCAGCAAAGGAGCCAGCCAAGAAAUCAAGGAAACAUGCUGCCUCAGAUGUUGAUCUGGAGAUAGAGAGCCUUCUGAACCAACAGUCCACUAAGGAACAACAGAGCAAGAAGGGCCAUGGAGUUGGGGAGAGAAUGUCUAAACCUCUGGGGGUAUGAACGGGUAGAUGAAAUUAUUUGGGUGAAGACAAAUCAACUGCAACGCAUCAUUCGGACAGGCCGUACAGGUCACUGGUUGAACCAUGGGAAGGAACACUGCUUGGUGAGCAGCAGUGGGGCCCAAUUCAAUAGGUGGAGCACAAAGAAGAAUCAUUUGAUUUCUUAUUGAGAAAAAGUUCAAAAGGUGUGGUUUCAUAAGGUAAUCUGUUAUCUGUGGUGAGCAGGUUGGUGUCAAAGGAAAUCCCCAAGGCUUCAACCAGGGUCUGGAUUGUGAUGUGAUCGUAGCUGAGGUAUGUGCUUCCCAGGCCUCCAAAGCUUCCACAUUUUUUUGUUGGUAUCAGUUAUUCAUGUUGGGUGUAUUCUCAUCCCAGAUUUUUCUCAUUUAGAUCAUAAACAUAAUAGAAAGGGUUAGAAUUGCAAUCUUGUGUAACUUAAAAAGCAGCUAGUUUCUAUUUCCUAGGUUCGUUCCACCAGUCAUAAACCAGAUGAAAUCUAUGGCAUGAUUGAAAGACUGUCUCCUGGCACUCGCAAGAUUGAGUUAUUUGGACGACCGCACAAUGUGCAACCCAACUGGAUCACCCUUGGAAACCAACUGGAUGGGAUCCACCUACUAGACCCAGAUGUGGUUGCACGGUUCAAGCAAAGGUACCCAGAUGGUAUCAUCUCUAAACCUAAGAAUUUAUAGAAGCACUUCCUUACAGAGCUAAGAAUCCAUAGCCAUGGCUCUGUAAGCUAAACCUGAAGAGUGAUAUUUGUACAGUAGCUUUCUUCUUUAUUUAAAUAAACAUUUGUAUUGU